UGGAGCUCACACUGACGAGCCAAUGAGAUCAAGUGCAUUCAUGGGAAGUCACGUUGAGGUCAAAUAAUCAUACAUUCAGUGGUAAUGACAAAUGGAAUGGUGGAUUUACAAAUGCGUUUUACAAUGUGUGCUAUGCUGUCAUUGGCACCGUUUUUGUGUGUUGACUGUGUGUUUGUGAAUGGAACAAACGAGAAUUACGAGUGUGUUUCACUGUAGCCCUACCUUGAGUGUGAGUCUGUGGAAUCAGGAUGUUGGAUUGAGGGGCAGGGCAUUGAGACUGUUAAAUAUUGACUGGGAGUGUAAUAAUUAACUUGGCUCCCACUCCUGAUCUCUCUUAAACUGGCCACUCUCUCUGCCAUGGCAUUGCUGACAAACGCACCCUAAACUCCUUCUCCUUUCUACCUCUCCUCUUAGUGAGGCUGUCUUUGUAUAUGUUCAUCACUGUUUUGCCUUCUAUCAGACGUUUCUGCUACAUUAGACUGCUCUUUCCUUAUUUAUGCCUUUCUAUCCUUGCACCCCCCAAAAGCUGACGCUCCCUAACCUCUGGCCUCGUGCUCUGAAAGCCACCGGGCCAGGCUCGGCUGCAUCUGAAGGUAUUUCAAAGUGAGAUAUCAUACGCCCACCAGAAACAACUGAAGGUGUGACCUCAAUAUAUGGGCCUAGCUCAAUGUUGCAUGAAUGCAGUAAUAUCGUUAUCCUGUAGGAGGCAGAGUGUGCUAUGAACAGCUUGUGGACAAAUCUGGUGCUUGCUGGCUGUAACAGCAACUCCAUGUGGAAGUUGUCUGUGUUCCAGUGGAGAUGCUGUUACCUGCAGAGAGUCACCCCCUAGCCAGCUCUGACAUAGAAUCAAUGUUUAGAAUAUCACAGUCCUUUCGGUUGAACUCAGUUAUAUCUGCUUUUACCACAUUGUCAUGGAUUUUUUUAUGAUAAAUGUUGUAUUAUUUAGAACAGUCUCUAGAUCAUUCAAGAGAUAUGUGCUCCUUGUUUUCUAUGACAACAUCAUGUGAAGAUAUGUAUGCCCUCCAAACUUUGGUUUGAAUUCAGAGUAGGGAUGCAUGGUGAUGACCUAUGAAUUGACAGCCAGUGUUUGCAACACAACUGCCUGUCAGUUCUGUAGGCCACUGCUGUGUCUAUCCUACUGAGCACACACAGGGGUUUAUAUGGAGCAAAGGAACUCAUUGAUAUGUUUGAUAAAUUGUCAGAAACCUAUGAUAAUAUUCUGUAUAGUAUACAUUUGCAAGUUAUUUGAAGACAAUACAAUUGUUUUGUUGCUAACCUUGGAAAUAAAGACUGAAAACACUC
This is a long non-coding RNA of Salmo salar (Atlantic salmon), 1302 nucleotides long. RefSeq lists it as uncharacterized. Lineage: Eukaryota; Metazoa; Chordata; Actinopteri; Salmoniformes; Salmonidae. The record is from RefSeq and is a predicted model, not a curated record.